CUAAUACAAAUUCAAAGACUGCACUGCAUUCCAAGCGGCUCUGUAAACCCUCUGGCCACUGUAAUGUACAGAAUCUGUCUGUCCAUUUCCCCAAAAACAAAUAUAUUUCUUCGAUUUCACACUCCAAAUUCAAAACCAAGUUGUACAACACAAACCCAUUUGGUUGUUUUUUUAUCAGAAAGCAGAAUAACUCAAAGUUUUAAGUUGCAAACAACUGGUCACAGUACUACUGUAGUAGUAAACUUGCUCAUUUUUUCUCUUCAUUUUCCUUUCAAAAACCAUUGUUAAAACACUCUUAACAAUGCUCGGAGCCAAAUCCCAAGCAACUUAAUCAAUUGGAGAUACAGUGAGCAUUUUGGGUUUGUUCUGUUCUUGGUGUUUUUGUGUGUGUUUAUUUUAUGAAUCUUGAUGUUUAAUGAAGUUUUAGAUUCUUUGAAAGUUGAUGAACCCAUUUAAAGAUUUGAGAUUUUUGGUUUAUUAGCAUAAAAAAGGCAACUUUUUGAAUAUUUGUUUAAUCACUGUCAAGGUUUAAGGCAUUUGACCCGGAAUCUUGUUUCUUGGUUAUGCAUUUUUAUAUACUAUUUGUAAAAUCUGAGUAUUUAUCUCUUUAAUAUAUCAGUUAUAGAUCUUUCUUAGUUUAGGGUUUUAAUCUCUGUUCAAGUGAAUGGAGUAUGCCAUUGUUAAACCCUCUUCAAACAUAUCUGAAAUGGUCACUAAGUUUGCUAAACUUUGCAAACUAAGAUCUAUUGGCGUUUUCUCGAACGAAAACCCAAAUCAGCAAUGUAAUUCUCUCCGUGACAACAAUGUGGCAUCGGUUAGUGAAGAUAGCAGUGAUGCUACAGUGGAAAUAGAAUGUGAUACGGAGAAAAUUGGAACGUAUCCUCCUGUAGUUCUGACUAUGAGGGACAUAGAUAUUGAGGGAGACUAUAUUAUUCAGUUAUUUGAUGCGGUUUCUGAGUUGAAAUUAGCUUACAUUCAGCUUCAGGAAGCUCAUGUUCCUUAUAAUGCGGAUAAGAUUAUUGCUGCUGAUGAACAGAUUGUGUUUAAGCUCGAAGCUCUUUGUAAGAUCAAGCGGACAUACAAGGAGAAGCGAUUCUCGAAUGUAAAUCUUGAGUCUUCCCAUUUUAGUCUACUGGAUACAGAGAGUCUGUUAGAGAAACUGAAGACUCAGAGUCGAGCACAAGAUGAUGAGAUUGUUCGUUUGCGACAAGAGCUACACAAUUUUCUUUUGGGGAAUACGGUAUUGGCAGAGAAGAUACGGCAGAAAAGUUUGGAAAUAAAAAAUGUGAGGGUUUUGAAUAUUUCCUUGUUUGAGAAUAUGUUCAGAGAAGCAUCGAAGUCUAUUCAUGAUUUUGCAAAGCCUGUGAUAAGUUUGAUGAAAGCUUCAGGUUGGGACUUGGAUAUGGCAGCUAAUUCCAUAGAAAGUGGAGUUGUUUAUUUCAAAAGGCAGCAUAAGAAGUAUGCAUUUGAAGCCUACGUUGCACGGAGAAUGUUUCAUGGGAUAUCACUUAAAUCCUAUAAUGUGGAUGAUGUUAUGCGGUUUGAUGAUCCCAUUGAUUAUCUGAUAGAAAAUCCCAAUUCAGAAUUUUCCACUUUUUGCGGAAACAAGUAUUUGUUUGCGGUUCAUCCUGUAAUGGAGAUGUCUUUCUUUGGCAAUUUGGACCAGAGGUUGUUUAUAUUAAGUGGCAAGCAUCCAAGAACACCAUUCUAUCAAAUAUUUGCAAGAAUGGCAAAGUGGAUAUGGGCUCUACAAGGGAUUGCAAGGUCAGUUGAUCCCAAGGCUGAAAUUUAUGUUGUUAAUAGAGGAAGCAAAUUCUCAGAUGUUUUUAUGGAACCUAUAGAAGCCGACAUUCUUAAUGGAGGACAAGCUGAUCCCAGAGUUGAGUUUAUGGUCAUGCCUGGUUUUAGAUUAGCUGACUCAUUGAUGCGGUCUCGGGUUUAUCUUUCUUGUUAGGGGGAAGUGCUGUAGGAACUAUAGCAUUGCAAAGGUAAUCAUUAAUUGUUUUGAGUAUGUCAAUACGUUGCCUAAAUUAGUUUGAGAGCUAAUAUUUUGGUAGUAGAGAUCAUACGUGAUCAUGCUGCCAAUACUUACCUGUUUAAAGCUGCAAGAUUUUGUUGUAUGCUUUUUGAAUUGUAAAUAGAUAUCUCUACGUGAUGAUGCUGUUCGAUUUUGUUUUACACUUUCUGUGUAUCGACUUUACUGCUUGUGAUUUAAGUAUAAUCUUCAAGCUAAGAAAAUGUGUUGGAAUAAACUGUUAAUUACAUGUAGAGCUUAUUUUAUCCUCUUGCCUAAUGAUCUUGAAGAACAAUGACAUAUAGUAAUCUUAUUUAGUAGGAUGGUCGGAGACUUGCUGUAUCCUGUUUGUAAUUUUAUUGUUUGCUGGCCUUGUAGUGCUUAGAAAGUGUUUAGAUGUUUCUGUCUUUUGAUUCAGAUGGUUUAGAGGUUUUCUACUAUUUUAGAUCAACCAAAAUAUAAGAUUUCUAUUUAUGGGAAUAUAUACAACCUAUUGCAAUUUGCUUGUGGUUAAGGAUUGACCUAAAUAGAGUUGAGUAAUUUAUACUCCUCUAGACAUAGAAGCACAUAAAAUUUUACGAUCUCUUUGGUUUAAAAUCAGGAAUAGGAAUAGGAACGAGAAUCUAAAUGGGAAUAGGAAUGCUUAAUUUCAUAUGUUGUUCGGUUGAGUAGGAAAUGGAAAUGGAAAUCAAAGAAAAAUGAGAAUGUAGAUGAUUUAUUUGGAUGAGAACGAGAACGAAUGUUAUUUAUUAAGCGAAGGGAUCCCAUUUCUUUUCCCAUUCUCAUGCACUUCAACCAAUCACAAACAACAAAAACCAUAACUGUUCCAAUUUUUAUCACUUUCAUAAUUAUUAGAACAAUGCCCUCUUGGUUUUUCAAUUUUCCGCUCGUACUUCAUGCGACUGAGAUUCUAGUCUUGCUAGUGUUGUUUUAUCAUUGAGUUUACAAAAUGACAGUUUUAGAAACUAAAGAGGUAGAUGGUUAGACAUGAUUUCAGUUUUAUAUUUUUAUCUUACAUUUUAUCUAGGGGUGUUUAUAUAGCCACCCCAAUUAGUUUAGGAUAAGGUGUUAGCUGAGUUGAGUUUUAAUUUCUUUUCCAGACACAGAGCUAUAUUGAAUUUAAGGUUUCAUUUUCCCUCCAUGCUCGUUUUCCACUCUUAAUUUGUGGAACCGAGAUUCCGGUCUUGCCAGUACAAGUAUUAUUGAGUGUGCUGUUGAAUGGGGAGUAAGGGGGAGCUCCGCUUCCUUAGAAAUUUGACCCAAAUCUUCUUUCUCCUGCGAAAUGCUGAAAAAGUAAGUCACCGGAGGAAGUAGAAUCAUUUGGCGCUAUAAUCAAUGUCAUUGUCAUCCUCCGGAGAAAACAGGUCCUUGCAUAGCUCCCCGUAGAAUCUACACACCACAUCGACAAAGACUGGGCACUUCAGAUUCUUCCAGCAAUACAGAAGCUCCUCAACAUCUAUCAGAUCCCUCACUUUUCCUUCUUCAACAAUCAUAUCCACCAAAUAGUUCUCAAAGCUUCUGCACGCAUCUUCCACAUCCUGGUCGCCGCCAAAGCUCUCUCUCAUGGCGGUUCUACUGGCUGUAAUGUAUGCUGGUGUUAGAGGUGACGUGUAGAUCCUUUUCUCGCGCUCUACUUCAGGAACACUCUUAAGCUCCCCAAGUACGUCCAUCUUCCUCGAUUUCUUAUGGAAAACUGAAUGCAGGGCAGUAAGAAUACGAUUCUUGGUAGAAGUUUUUCUCGUCUUACUACGGUGAGUACGCGAUGCAAGAGAUCUUAUAAAGAGAGGUUUUCUGAGUUUGAAUCUGAAGGUUAGUAGUUUUCUGCAUGGGGUUAGAAGCUUGGAUUUGAAGGCAACUAAUGCUUUCAUUUUCAUUUGUAAUGAUUUGGGAAUUGAGUGUGGUUGAAGAAAUUGAACAGAAUUGAUUGGUUUCUGUUGCUGCUUUUAAAAUAGUUGAGACAAAAGAAUUGGAAUGUAGAGAAGUAAAUAAAUAUGAGAGUUUGGUGUGGCAUUGAGAGAGAGACUGAGUGGAGUUUGUUGACGAAGAUGCAUAGCUUUGUUGGGUUCACGUCUUGAAUUCAGGAGAGUGGCAUCCCAUUAACUAUACUAAUACCUGACAUUCUUAUCUAAAAUUUCUAUAUGCAUUUUGUUUAUUGAUAUUAUUUCUUUUUAUUUUUUAUAUCGCUUUAUUCUCAUUAAAUGUAAUAAAUAUCUAAAAAUAUUCAUUUUUUGUUUGAUUGGUUAAAAUUUAUCGGUGAUGCAUAAUAUUAAAUUUAA
Molecule: RNA transcript, 4290 nt
Organism: Mercurialis annua (annual mercury)
Lineage: Eukaryota; Viridiplantae; Streptophyta; Magnoliopsida; Malpighiales; Euphorbiaceae
Gene name: protein GRAVITROPIC IN THE LIGHT 1
Exons: 2
Source: RefSeq, a predicted model, not a curated record